This 497-nucleotide ribosomal RNA is filed under the name uncultured bacterium. RNAcentral describes it as "partial 16S ribosomal RNA". It matches the Rfam family "Bacterial small subunit ribosomal RNA", at positions 28 to 507 of the family's 1533-position model. The record is from RNAcentral.
GACGAACGCUGGCGGCGUGCCUAAUACAUGCAAGUUGAGCGCUGAAGGUUGGUACUUGUACCAACUGGAUGAGCAGCGAACGGGUGAGUAACGCGUGGGGAAUCUGCCUUUGAGCGGGGGACAACAUUUGGAAACGAAUGCUAAUACCGCAUAAAAACUUUAAACACAAGUUUUAAGUUUGAAAGAUGCAAUUGCAUCACUCAAAGAUGAUCCCGCGUUGUAUUAGCUAGUUGGUGAGGUAAAGGCUCACCAAGGCGAUGAUACAUAGCCGACCUGAGAGGGUGAUCGGCCACAUUGGGACUGAGACACGGCCCAAACUCCUACGGGAGGCAGCAGGAGGGAAUCUUCGGCAAUGGACGAAAGUCUGACCGAGCAACGCCGCGGGAGUGAAGAAGGGUUUCGGAUCGUAAAACUCUGUUGGUAGAGAAGAACGUUGGUGAGAGUGGAAAGCUCAUCAAGUGACGGUAACUACCCAGAAAGGGACGGCUAACUACGUG